UACGUAGGGGGCAAGCGUUAUCCGGAAUCAUUGGGCGUAAAGCGCGUGUAGGCGGUUCCGUAAGUCCGCUCUGAAAGCCCAGGGCUCAACCCUGGGAGGCGGGUGGAUACUACGGAACUGGAGUACGGAAGAGGAGAUUGGAAUUCCUGGUGUAGCGGUGGAAAUGCGCAGAUAUCAGGAGGAACACCAGAGUCGGAAGGCAGAUCUCUGGGCCGUAACUGACGCUGAGGAGCGAAAGCGUGGGGAGCGAACAGG
RNAcentral lists this ribosomal RNA (255 nucleotides) under uncultured bacterium. RNAcentral describes it as "partial 16S ribosomal RNA". It matches the Rfam family "Bacterial small subunit ribosomal RNA", at positions 524 to 776 of the family's 1533-position model. The record is from RNAcentral.